AGGCACUGUGAUUUGUUUUCUCUUCCCUCUUCUCCCAGCCGCCGCGCUGCCGCUGACCAGCGCCUCCUCAGCCAGCUCCCCGGCGCGCAGCCCCAGGCGCCGCUGCCUCCUAGCAGCCGCGCAGCCGCCGGCCAGCGCCUCUUUGGCCAGCUCCCCGGCACGCAGCCACUUCGCCAGCUUCACCAGCCGCCAAGCACCAGGACCACGCCAUGGCCGUCGGUCUCCUCAUGGUCGCGCGACUUCCCUAGGGUGCGCCCAGCCGUGGUGGCUUCCGACCUUCUCUCCUUCUCCUCAAGCCGCUGGCCAGCUCCUCGAAGUCACGCCGCCUCCGGCGGCCAACACCUUCCCGCAGCCGCCGGCGCCCGCCAGCCGCCGCUGCAGCCCCACCGGCCGCCGCCCAGCCACCGCGGUCGUGCCCUGCUCCACCUUGCGUCAGUAGCAGCAUCGCGCCCAGCCUCCUCCCAGGCGCCCCUGCUCCGACCCGUCUGCACCUUGCC
This 497-nucleotide unclassified non-coding RNA is filed under the name Zea mays. Its description in RNAcentral is "misc RNA Zm00001eb260900". Lineage: Eukaryota; Viridiplantae; Streptophyta; Magnoliopsida; Poales; Poaceae. The record is from RNAcentral.